RNAcentral lists this ribosomal RNA (492 nucleotides) under uncultured bacterium. Its description in RNAcentral is "partial 16S ribosomal RNA". It matches the Rfam family "Bacterial small subunit ribosomal RNA", at positions 29 to 507 of the family's 1533-position model. The record is from RNAcentral.
AGUGAACGCUGGCGGUAGGCCUAACACAUGCCAGUCGAACGGCAGCACAGUAAGAGCUUGCUCUUACGGGUGGCGAGUGGCGGACGGGUGAGGAAUACAUCGGAAUCUACUUUUUCGUGGGGGAUAACGUAGGGAAACUUACGCUAAUACCGCAUACGACCUACGGGUGAAAGCAGGGGAUCUUCGGACCUUGCGCGAUUGAAUGAGCCGAUGUCGGAUUAGCUAGUUGGCGGGGUAAAGGCCCACCAAGGCGACGAUCCGUAGCUGGUCUGAGAGGAUGAUCAUCCACACUGGAACUGAGACACGGUCCAGACUCCUACGGGAGGCAGCAGUGGGGAAUAUUGGACAAUGGGCGCAAGCCUGAUCCAGCCAUACCGCGUGGGUGAAGAAGGCCUUCGGGUUGUAAAGCCCUUUUGUUGGGAAAGAAAAGCAGCAGGUUAAUACCCCGCUGUUCUGACGGUACCCAAAGAAUAAGCACCGGCUAACUUCGUG